CUGCCCAAUGCAUACAUGCGACGGGCUAAACCAAUAGGAGAAUCGGUCUUUUCCAGCCUGAGAUUCCAAAGACCAGGGAAUAGUCCCGCAGAUCAGAAAGAGGGAGGGGUUCAAGGAAAGAGUUCGGCACCAAGUACUAGGGGAGCCCGGGUGGAACCUCUGGGAAGGUGCACGUGCGCGGAGGGGCGUGGAUCUGCAGGGACCGCGGCGGAAACUCGGGUGAGAGGUGCGAGCGGAGGUCGGGCCCGCGUCAUUGGAUUCAGGGAGGUGACAGCGCGUCCCUUUCCAUACUCGACCCACUCACCAAGGCCCGCUGUUCUCGGCCGCCACGCAGGCAGCCCUAGUCCUGGGUCUGGCUACCCACAGCCAGUCGCGCCGUGGGUCUUUGGCUCCUUGUUUUGUUUGUACCGCUUCUUAGGUCUCCGCCCCGGAAGUGAUGUCACCGAGCGCAAAUGCUUGGGGAUCCUAGGCUGUCGCCCAGUCUUUAAAGGGCACACAGAGCUUCGCACUGCUUCUGACAGUUCUCUUGAGCUAAGCUGCAUCUGGGCGGAAGUAGCCCAUCUAGGGCUCGGCCUCUUUAAAGGAACAGACUUCUGCAACCUUGGGAAUACGUUUGGGGUCGCGGGUUAUUGGACAGAGCAGCGCUAUUGUUUGCUGAAGCAGAACUGUGUGUGGGACUCAGGCCCUGGCUUGGAGCCAUUUUCUGGCCUAGACUGUCUGCCCUUCUGUGCCCCUGAGGGGACGUCUGCAGUGCCUUGGAUCUGGGAGGCAUGUUCAGGAGUGCAGCAGGCCUCUCGGUGCACCUGCUGUGACCACUCUGGGGAAGGAAGGCUGGAGCCUCACGCAGCCAGUGCUUGCACCAGUCUCUCACCAUGUCCAAACAGCUGCAGGCUCGAAGGCUGGAAGGGAUCGAUCACAACCCCUGACCAUAGGUCAAAGUUUGAAGUCUCCUGGGCUAAGCCAUAUGAUUGGUACAGGACCUGGCCACCUUAAAACAUGGGAACCACACAUGUGGAGGUAGAGGGUGGAGUUUACCAGACUGUCCAAGGAGUAUGAUGUCGUGAACUUGGGCCAGGGCUUCCCUGACUUCUCACCGCCAGACUUUGCUGUGCAAGCUUUUCAGCAGGCUACCACUGGGAACUUCAUGCUCAACCAGUACACCUCAGCGUUUGGUUCCUCUGUGUAGCCCUAGCUGUCCUGGUACUCACUCUGAGACCAGGCUAGCCUCCAGUUCACAGAGAUCCACCUGCCUCUGCCUCCUGAGUUUUGGGAUUAGAGGCAUGCGCCACUACUGCUGGGUAGUGUAAGACCCCCGAAGCUGGGCCUCUGCUCAAGUCCCGGGAUGAGCUGGCCAGCACCCCAAUGACUUGAGAGAAAACCACACCUGAUGCAAACUGCAAGAGGUUUUAUUAUCAGCUAGCUAGCUGAGGACGAGCUCCUUGAGCUGAGCAAGGCAGGGGAGUUAAACCCCGAGCUGUAGCAGUAGGGGGCUUUUAACAGCUAGCUGAGGAAUUGGGAGGAGUUGGGCUACAGCUCUUCUCUGCGGGUGUCCUUGGUAAAAUUACAAUUAUCGCAUCUCUGGUUGUAAGGUAUAGAAACAAAAAGGCUUUUUGCUGGCAAAGAGCUUCUUUCUAGCUGUAUUUUUAGAGAUCAGAGAAAACAAGCUGGGUGGGGGGGAUGUUUUAGAGGCUUUAACUCCCAGGGAGAAACGCUCUAAGUCCAGGUCUCACAUUCCCCACUCCUUCUAGUAUAUAGUUCUAAUCUUAGAACUAGGGAAAUUAAACCUCUGUCCCAGCUGCCAAACAAAGCCAACAUGAGGUCGCAGCUUUAGGAUUUGUAACAUUGAGAGCCUCAGAAGCCCCUCAAAUGAUACUAAAGAGUCUCUCACCAGAGGUAGGAGGGAGGGAGGAGGUUCCUGUGCUACACCUGGUGAGUGUGAGCAGGGCCAGGCCGGCAGGGCCAGAAGGGGGAGUUGGGUGCAUGCAGGAGGAGCAACGGAGCAGCAGGGCUUGUCAGAAGCACCAGGUAGGGUCCUUUCCAUCUGGGUUCAAGGUUGCCAGAACGGUGGCGCCAGACCAGGACAGGAUCCCCUAUUUGAAAUUUAUGUGGGACCCUCCCAGGGAGAAAUGCUCUAAGUUGGGGUCUCACAGUAGAACAGCACUUCUUAAAUUUUGCAGUCUCAAUAUUGCCUGGAGAGAAUUUCCCAUAUUUUUGCAAUGCUUACUAUUCUUUACCUUGAAUGGACUCAUCCUGUAUGUAAUGCAAUGUAAGUUGAUGCUGUCAAUAAGGAAUGUAUCCUGGACAUCCUUCCAGUCAAAGUGUCAGUCCCUUUAUCCUUUAGUGUCCCCCAGCCCAGGGCCUUGGGGUGCCAGCUCCGUGCAGCUCCUCGCUCCCUUUAGAGUUUCAUGUAGUACUGUGCUGACAUCAUCCCCUGCUUCCUCCACCUCCGCCUGUGCCCAGCACUCCCUCCACACUCACCAGCUCUUCCUCACUUAUCACAGUUAAAAUGUGUGUAAGGACACACAACACAAUGCGUGCGAAGGCCACUUAGUACUCCUCUGUGUAGUGUUUAGGGCUGACCACUUGAGACUAGAUAACUUAUGAGGGCUCACCACUGGAAAAGAGUGAUUCUCUUAGCACCAGUGAUUGGGCAGCGCCUUGCGGGACGGCCCA
Mus musculus (house mouse) is the source of this 2673-nucleotide RNA transcript. It is a transcript of the gene named kynurenine aminotransferase 1, with no coding region annotated. The transcript is spliced from 6 exons. NCBI's taxonomy places the organism in Eukaryota, Metazoa, Chordata, Mammalia, Rodentia, Muridae. The record is from RefSeq and is marked validated.